AAAGGAAUUGACGGGGGCCCGCACAAGCGGUGGAGCAUGUGGUUUAAUUCGAAGCAACGCGAAGAACCUUACCAGGGCUUGACAUCCCUUGUCCGCUGUAGAAAUACAGUUUCUCUUCGGAGCAAGGAGACAGGUGGUGCAUGGUUGUCGUCAGCUCGUGUCGUGAGAUGUUGGGUUAAGUCCCGCAACGAGCGCAACCCUUGCUUUUAGUUGCCAGCAUUAAGUUGGGCACUCUAAAGGGACUGCCGGUGACAAACCGGAGGAAGGUGGGGAUGACGUCAAAUCAUCAUGCCCCUUAUGUCCUGGGCUACACACGUGCUACAAUGGUCUGUACAAAGGGAAGCUAAGCAGUGAUGCGGAGCGGAUCCCAGAAAACAGAUCUCAGUUCGGAUUGCAGGCUGCAACUCGCCUGUAUGAAGCCGGAAUCGCUAGUAAUCGCAGGUCAGCAUACUGCGGUGAAUACGUUCCCGGGCCUUGUACACACCGCCCGU
Molecule: ribosomal RNA, 491 nt
Filed under: uncultured bacterium
Lineage: Bacteria
Description: bacterial SSU rRNA
Rfam family: Bacterial small subunit ribosomal RNA
Source: RNAcentral